Molecule: ribosomal RNA, 376 nt
Filed under: uncultured soil bacterium
Lineage: Bacteria
Description: bacterial SSU rRNA
Rfam family: Bacterial small subunit ribosomal RNA
Source: RNAcentral
AGAUUGAACGCUGGCGGCAUGCCUAACACAUGCAAGUCGAACGGGAGUAGCAAUACUCUAGUGGCGGACGGGUGAGGAAUACGUAGGAAUUUGCCCUUAAGUGGGGGAUAACCCGGGGAAACCCGGAUUAAUACCGCAUGACCUCGAAAGAGCAAAGUGGGGGAUCGCAAGACCUCACGCUUUUGGAGAAGCCUACGUCGGAUUAGCUAGUUGGUGAGGUAAUGGCUCACCAAGGCGACGAUCCGUAACUGGUCUGAGAGGAUGAUCAGUCACACCGGAACUGAGACACGGUCCGACUCCGUACGGGAGGCAGCGAGUGGGGAAUAGUUGGACAAGUGGGCGACAAGCCGUGACUUCCAGACAAUCGCCGUCGUGU